Molecule: ribosomal RNA, 253 nt
Filed under: uncultured bacterium
Lineage: Bacteria
Description: partial 16S ribosomal RNA
Rfam family: Archaeal small subunit ribosomal RNA
Source: RNAcentral
UACCAGCACCCCGAGUGGUCGGGACGUUUAUUGGGCCUAAAGCAUCCGUAGCCGGUUCUACAAGUCUUCCGUUAAAUCCACCUUCUUAACAGAUGGGCUGCGGAAGAUACUAUAGAGCUAGGAGUCGGGAGAGGCAAGCGGUACUCGAUGGGUAGGGGUAAAAUCCGUUGAUCCAUUGAAGACCACCAGUGGCGAAGGCGGCUUGCCAGAACGCGCUCGACGGUGAGGGAUGAAAGCUGGGGGAGCAAGCCGG